Molecule: long non-coding RNA, 711 nt
Filed under: Fukomys damarensis (Damara mole-rat)
Lineage: Eukaryota; Metazoa; Chordata; Mammalia; Rodentia; Bathyergidae
Description: lncRNA (ENSFDAG00000033461.1)
Source: RNAcentral
CCUCCUCAACAAGUGGCUCGAAAUGACCUCAACUCAGGGGCCAGACCAAACUCCAAGAGUUCUCCUGUGAUACACAGCUACCUCAGUUCAAAAGAUUCUAAUGAUCACCAUGGCAACUCCUGGGCCACUAUUCACAGGAGACUGGUGUUCUAGAUGAGUGGCCCGAGACACAGUAACCUGAGCUAGGUACCAGACACUCAAGCCUAACCCUCAUCCAAAUGGUUCCCAGUCCCUGGGUGGAUCCCAGUCCAGAUUUAGAGGCUCCAGUGGCCCUCUGCACCUUGGUAUUCUUCUCAUUCAGGUUCUCAUCUGCUCUGAACAGCGAAUGUGUCAGCUCGGAGCUAUCUAGGAUACUGGACUCUCCUUGAAGACUCUUCCCUGGACUUGCAGACGUCAUCCAAAACUCCCCACAUCCAGAACUGCAACCUGAAACCCCUCAUGUAAGAGACGUCUUCAUCCUCCUCAUCUCAAUGAGCAUCUCCACUCCCUGACUGUUUGAUUAAAAGUCUAGAGUCAUUCUUGUCCUCACCUUUCUCUCAGCAGACAUAUAAUCUGAAAGAAGGCACUGUCAGCUCCAUUUCUAAAAGAAGCUGCAUCUCGAGCAUGAUCACCACUCCCGUCCCCUUCUGCCAGCAUUCCCACCCUAGCCAGCCCCAUCUCCAGCUGGGAUUACUCACAGCCCAACUGGUCCCCUUCCUGCACCCCGCCCAC